This 447-nucleotide long non-coding RNA is filed under the name Nicotiana benthamiana. RNAcentral describes it as "long non-coding RNA (NBEN_LNC022686)". The record is from RNAcentral. Lineage: Eukaryota; Viridiplantae; Streptophyta; Magnoliopsida; Solanales; Solanaceae.
UCACAGUGGAUUCCGUGCCUGAAUGUAAUGUGCAGUCUGGCCUUCAAUCCGAUUAGGGGCAUGUUGUCCUUUCUCCUACGCCUAGUGCCUUACUUUCUUAAAGAAGACAUCUGUCCAUUCAAUCGGAAUUUCUAUUUCUAGAGGUAUACUCCAUUUAGCGAUAUCCCACUUAUCUUCCUGAAAGUCAAGUGCCACACCGGAUACGCAUUCAGUUACCUUUCUAAGAGCUCCUUUCAUUUCUCUUCUUUGCUUCUGAUUCAAUAGCACGGAGACUCGCGCAAAGGGUUAACAGUUGAUAGGCAAGUCAAGCGGUAAAGCAGUAAAUCCACUAAGAAAGGCACUAAUAGCUAUUCACUCACCAACAACAGCGGCAAGGCAAGAGUGGAAGGAGAUUUUGUCGAGCCCUGCUUUGGUCUCUGGUUUGAUGGUUGUACGUGCUAAAAAUCC